RNAcentral lists this ribosomal RNA (253 nucleotides) under uncultured bacterium. Its description in RNAcentral is "partial 16S ribosomal RNA". It matches the Rfam family "Bacterial small subunit ribosomal RNA", at positions 524 to 776 of the family's 1533-position model. The record is from RNAcentral.
UACGUAGGUGGCAAGCGUUGUCCGGAUUUAUUGGGUUUAAAGGGAGCGUAGGUGGGCUGGUAAGUCAGUGGUGAAAUCUCCGGGCUUAACUCGGAAACUGCCGUUGAUACUAUCAGUCUUGAAUAUUGUGGAGGUAAGCGGAAUAUGUCAUGUAGCGGUGAAAUGCUUAGAUAUGACAUAGAACACCGAUAGCGAAGGCAGCUUGCUACACAAUUAUUGACACUGAGGCUCGAAAGCGUGGGGAUCAAACAGG